AUUUGAUGGUGGUGUACUAGAUGAAUUAGUGUGGGAGCAGAGACCAAGUUUGUUUUGUUUUGUUUUAUUUAUUUAUUUAUUUAUUUAUUGUAAUAUUGAAAUGAUUAAUGAAUACUUGAUCUAAGUUGUUUGCAUAGGGAUUUGCUGCAGCCCGGCUGGCUGGGCAAAAUAGCCGGGGGGUGACGAAGAACUUGUGUAGAUUGAUACAGCAGGAGUAGGAGCCGUUUAUUGCAGGACAGGAGCAGUAUUUAUACAUUCCACACAGCUUAUCUAAUUAGCAUAAACUAGAUACAUCAGUCAACCAAUAAGGAAUCUCCACACUUAAUGGCUCCCUGGUGUUACUUCACAAACCACUCCCUCUGGCAUUUUGCCAGGCACCAUCCAGACUUGUUUACAGACUCUAACAUUUCUCUGGCAAAAUGCCAGGAGCCAUCCUGACCUGUUUACAGACUCUAACAGGGAUUGGUGAACCAGGUUGUUGUAGAGAGUUUUGACUCUGAUUGCCUAGGGUGUCUUCAGCAAACACGAGAUGUUUAUAUAGGGAGAACUGAUUGAGUUUCCUUUUCUACCUUUAUCUUUCACACAUUCAUAGAAAGCCUAGUGUGUAUCAGGUGCUUUAAAAAAUUAUCCUUUAAACUUUUGGUAAUACAUCAGAGAUUAAUAUCCAACUGGAAAUUUAAGAUUGGAGAUUGGGAGAAGAGAUGAGGCGGAAAUUGUAUAUUUUCAACUAAUUUUUUUUUUUAAUUUUUAUUUUUUUCAAUGCAGGGGAUCAAACACAAGGUUGUGGCAAGCAUUCUAUCACUGAACUUACCCCUGGCUUCAAUAUUUAUUCUUGUGUUAGUAAUAUCAAUGAUGUUGAUUCUCAGGAAAGAGUAGAGAGAAAUAGAAAAGACCACACCAAAAACAGAGCAUUGGGGCAGCCUGUGUUUUGGUAUGAAAGGAAAAGGAGUCAUAAAUGGAAAAACCAUAACAUAUGAUGUCCUGAGGGAAGUAACUGUUUCGAGAAAAGUGAUAAUUCUUAAUGUCAUGAAGACUUCAAAGAAGGAAAAACUGGGGAGAAACAUUCAGUUUGGAAAGUUUCAUUAGGGAAAGGUUUGCAAAUUAACAUCUCCAGCUUCAUUUAAAAGGGAUUAAGAUGUAGGAUAUUGAGAAGUGAAUACCAGAAUAUAUAUAUUACUUUUAAGAAAUAGUUGGUAAAAGGAAGGAGAAGACUGUAACAAUAUUCGAAGAUAUUGAGGUAGAAAGAAUACUUGUUUGACUUCAGUCUGAGUUGCUUAGGGCCUCUGUCUCCCAAGCCACUGGGAUUACAGGCAUGCGCCUCUGCGCUGGGCUUGACUUCA
RNAcentral lists this long non-coding RNA (1340 nucleotides) under Marmota monax (woodchuck). Lineage: Eukaryota; Metazoa; Chordata; Mammalia; Rodentia; Sciuridae. The record is from RNAcentral.